GUCCAGCUGACGAGUCCCGAAUAGGACGAAACGCGCGUCAAACUGGAU
This 48-nucleotide non-coding RNA is filed under the name Schistosoma mansoni. The record is from RNAcentral. Lineage: Eukaryota; Metazoa; Platyhelminthes; Trematoda; Strigeidida; Schistosomatidae.